Molecule: ribosomal RNA, 467 nt
Filed under: uncultured bacterium
Lineage: Bacteria
Description: partial 16S ribosomal RNA
Rfam family: Bacterial small subunit ribosomal RNA
Source: RNAcentral
GACGAACGCUGGCGGCGUGCUUAACACAUGCAAGUCGAACGGAAAGGCCCUGCUUUUGUGGGGUGCUCGAGUGGCGAACGGGUGAGUAACACGUGAGUAACCUGCCCUUGACUUUGGGAUAACUUCAGGAAACUGGGGCUAAUACCGGAUAGGAGCUCCUGCUGCAUGGUGGGGGUUGGAAAGUUUCGGCGGUUGGGGAUGGACUCGCGGCUUAUCAGCUUGUUGGUGGGGUAGUGGCUUACCAAGGCUUUGACGGGUAGCCGGCCUGAGAGGGUGACCGGCCACAUUGGGACUGAGAUACGGCCCAGACUCCUACGGGAGGAAGCAGUGGGGAAUAUGGCACAAUGGGCGGAAGCCUGAUGCAGCAACGCCGCGUGCGGGAUGACGGCCUUCGGGUUGUAAACCGCUUUCGCCUGUGACGAAGCGUGAGUGACGGUAAUGGGUAAAGAAGCACCGGCUAACUACGU